UGGGGAAUUUUGGACAAUGGGCGAAAGCCUGAUCCAGCAAUGCCGCGUGUGUGAAGAAGGCCUUCGGGUUGUAAAGCACUUUUGUCCGGAAAGAAAUCCUUGGCUCUAAUACAGUCGGGGGAUGACGGUACCGGAAGAAUAAGCACCGGCUAACUACGUGCCAGCAGCCGCGGUAAUACGUAGGGUGCAAGCGUUAAUCGGAAUUACUGGGCGUAAAGCGUGCGCAGGCGGUUUGCUAAGACCGAUGUGAAAUCCCCGGGCUCAACCUGGGAACUGCAUUGGUGACUGGCAGGCUAGAGGUAUGGCAGAGGGGGGUAGAAUUCCACGUGUAGCAGUGAAAUGCGUAGAGAUGUGGAGGAAUACCGAUGGCGAAGGCAGCCCCCUGGGCCAAUACUGACGCUCAUGCACGAAAGCGUGGGGGAGCAAAACAGGAUUAGAUACCCCUGGUAGUCCACGCCCUAAAGNGAUGUCAACUAGUUGUUGGGGAUUCAUUUCCUUAGUAACGUAGCUAACGCGUGAAGUUGACCGCCU
RNAcentral lists this ribosomal RNA (531 nucleotides) under uncultured bacterium. Its description in RNAcentral is "partial 16S ribosomal RNA". It matches the Rfam family "Bacterial small subunit ribosomal RNA", at positions 355 to 874 of the family's 1533-position model. The record is from RNAcentral.